This 84-nucleotide transfer RNA is filed under the name Gammaproteobacteria bacterium. RNAcentral describes it as "tRNA-Tyr". It matches the Rfam family "tRNA". Rfam says of the family: Transfer RNA (tRNA) molecules are approximately 80 nucleotides in length. The record is from RNAcentral. RNAcentral also lists the same sequence under 1 other name. Lineage: Bacteria; Pseudomonadati; Pseudomonadota; Gammaproteobacteria.
GGAGGGGUACCCAAGCGGUCAAAGGGGGCAGACUGUAAAUCUGUUGCGAGAGCUUCGUAGGUUCGAAUCCUACCCCCUCCACCA